AUAAAGCUGGACGACCGAAGUAA
Molecule: microRNA, 23 nt
Filed under: Ascaris suum (pig roundworm)
Lineage: Eukaryota; Metazoa; Nematoda; Chromadorea; Rhabditida; Ascarididae
Description: asu-miR-9-3p
Gene: asu-miR-9-3p
Source: miRBase by way of RNAcentral